Molecule: long non-coding RNA, 43314 nt
Filed under: Fragaria vesca (wild strawberry)
Lineage: Eukaryota; Viridiplantae; Streptophyta; Magnoliopsida; Rosales; Rosaceae
Description: long non-coding RNA (FVES_LNC000141)
Source: RNAcentral
GAAGCUAGCUAGUUAGAGAGGCUAAAAUGACUGUUAUUAUGAUAAUGUUUUUAACGUUAUCCCUCCAUCUGUAGAGGUGUUAUUUUCUCAGAAUUGUAAUAAUAUUUAAUCAAUAAAAGUUAUUCAUUCCUCUUAAAAAAAGAAGAAGGCAGCUAUAUGUAUGUCGACAAAAAAUUUAGACAAAUUGUGAGUUUUUUCGACAAGUUGUGGACCAGUGUGUUCAAACUUCCAAGUGCCUACAUUUUGUCUAUACUGGUUGCAUGUCGGGAGAACUAUGUGGAAUAUAUAUGUGGUCCAACUAUGUAUAAUUCCACAGGUGCAUGCAAUGCAGGACCUCCAGGCAGCUAGCUAUGUGGCAUUGGCUUUGUAGAACAUAAAUAUAUAUAUAUAUAUAGGCCUUCUCGGCUGCUGACAUCCGUACCAAAGUUUUUGGUGAGGAUUUCCAUUUUUGCACCACUUCCUGAUCAAAUUUCCUCAAACUUCCUUUUAGACAUAUCUAGAUCAUCUUGUGUAUAUCAUCUCUGCAAAAUUUCAACCAAUUUGGUGAUCGUUAAGGCCUUCAAACUUGCGUUUUUCUGUUAUAUACCUGAACNNNNNNNNNNNNNNNNNNNNCGGUGCAGACGUCCGCAGCUGAGAAAAUACUAUAUAUAUAUAUAUAAAUAUGUGGAUUUAUAGUGUUAAGAUCGACUUGGAGAUCAAGGAGUCAGCCAAUACAUGCCUAAAUUAUAGAGCAAGCUAAGCAUCUGAAUUUUGAAAAGUCUGGUCAUCAGGAUUAUUAUACAUUCUGGAAGAUCAAUUGAACUAAUAGCUCUAGCUGAUAUAUCACUGUGUGCUUACUGGAGGUCUCAACGUUCCUUACAAUAAGCUCUCUCUGUGGAAAGCCUCCAUCUAUAUCACGACCGCCACCUAGCUCGAUUUGAUCGAUCAUAUAUUGGACUCUUCAAACGUUCAAAGUUUCCAACAAUAUCCAUCAAAAAAAAGUUUCCAACAAUAUAUUCCAUUAAUUGAACCAAACAAAAUGGGUCGAUCAUCUGCAUGCAUGAAAUGAGAGUCAAUCUCGCUCUCACUGGAUUGCAGUGGUUUGAGGCAACUGCUUAAUCCUAAAUCCUAAAUCUGUCUUAACUUACGUUUGCUUGUAUGGUUAAGUACUAUACAUACGUACAAAUUAGUUCUUUUCCAUCGUAUACGACCUAUGUUUUACACAAAAUUAUCCUCGUUAAUCAAAGUUAAUUAGAAGUCGAAGCACUAUCAUAACCUAGCUCAGUCCUCGAUCGGGUCAAGCUCAGCUUUGAAAUUGCAUAAGCAAUUUCAUUCUUUGUUUGAAUCCGAAUUGUCAACUAACAGUACUACUCCACCUGUAUGUCUAUCUGACUAGUAGUAUUGUUUUUGAUCGAUCAAACAGAAUAAGCAUCAAACAGAGAUUGAGCUCGAUCCCUUUUCGUUCAUUUUUUCCUUUGAAAAUUCUAUAUCUGGCUAUUUCAUGGCUUACGUGAUGGAGAACUUUGUCAAUUGAUUUCUUGUUUUAAAUGCUAAAACAGAAUAUGUAUAUAUGCUUGUACGAAAUAUUGAAAAAUCAAACCAAAAUGGCCGAAAGAUAAUUACUGUGUACUUACUUCGUUUGAACAUGCAUACAUGCAUGGAAACCGAUGACCCAAAUCUUUACCAGAGACGUACACCUUGAAAUUAAUCAAACCCAGUGACUGAUCUCUAUAUACAUACACACGAGCUAGAACGAAAUCAUGCAUAUAUGCAUAAUACUUUGACUCAUCUAAAAUAUGAAGUGGUAGUUAUUACGACUUUGAUUAGAAGUGUUUUCACAUUCAGUCUCUGGAUUUCAGUCUAUAAAGUGAUGACCAUGUUUUCCUUAAAGCUUCCAUUUAAAUUCUUGGAUGCUUCCUAAUUUUACAUAUUAUACAUGUAUAUAUGCAUGAGUUUUCUAAAUUGGAGUUUGGAAUAUGGAAUGCUACCUUUGCAUUUCCGGUAUACAUACAUUAGGUACUAAUUGUUUAUAUAAUAGACUAAUAGUGCGAAACAGUCUUCACUAUGUAUAUAUUUUUAUAAUUAUAUAUAUACGUACACACUCAAACUCCAAAAGUAUACUUCGUCAAAAGACUAUAUCAAAAUGGAUCUUGAAUUUCAAUUUCUUUCAUUCUUAUAUAGGCUUUCAAAUCUUUGAAACUCCAAUCUGCUCAAUGAAAGUAGAAUAAUCAAAUGGAUUAACAUAUAUAAUACGGAUAAAUAAUCGAUUUUAUUUUAUGAGAAAAUCGGCCAGCCAUGUUUUAAGUUUGGCAAGUUACGGUUCAUAAUUUGCUUAUGAUCGACUAAGUUAUUAUAUAUAUGAUCUAGCUCAAACAGUUUUAGUUUGCAUCAAGAUAUUGUUGGGUGAAAUCUACAAUUUAGAGCAAUUAAGCAGUUGCAUUGGUCUCACGACCAACCUAACUUUAUUGAUCUUUAAUUAUUCAGCCUUAUAUUAGGGUUCGAACAAUUUGCAUAAAGAUAUCCAUGUAGUCUAUAUUCAAAAGAUUCUUACAUAUAUUCUACAUUUCUAUAUUAUAUAUGAUAUAUCGUAUAAUUAAGUGUUUGAAGGGCACAACGAAAUUCAGCUAAUACCCGUAUACGCAAUGAAUGAAAGUCACAACGAAGUGAAGGAAAGGUCUCCCUUCAUUUCCACCAAGUGAUCGAGAAAUGUUCAUGAUGGACGACGAUCAUCUUCUUUAGUUUUACCCUAGCUAAUUAACCUACGUACCUUUCUUUGAUCUCAAAAUUCCACUCAGUCGACAUUUGAAGCUUCAUGCAUAAGUUCCCACGACCAACAACAACCAUUGCAUUACAUGACUCCUCGCUCUCCUAUAAAUACCUCAGCUUUCUCAUGGUUUUAGCACCAAGAAUAUCGAGCAUACCACCUUUUCUCCCAAAACCAUUUCAAACAGAGACAAAGCGACCAAAAUAUGGCUCCGGUGGUCUCAAAAGUAGGGAUUAUUGGUGCCGGAGUGAGCGGCAUAGCUGCUGCGAAACACCUAAGCCAUCACAACCCUAUUGUCCUCGAAGCCUCUGACUCCAUUGGAGGGGUCUGGAGGCAUUGCUCCUACAACUCCACAAAGCUUCAGUCGCAUCGUCGCGAUUAUGAGUUCUCUGACUUUCCCUGGUUCGAUAGGGACAAACCUGAAUAUCCUUCUCACCUUGAGAUAUUGGAUUACUUGAACUCUUACGCAGAGCACUUUGAUGUGCUCAAGUUUGUGAGGUUCAACUCCAAGGUCGUCGAGGUUCGUUUUAUUGGUGACCGGGAAACCACUGAUGCAGGUUUUAAACCACCGGCGGGGCAGCCUGCUUGGGAAGUUGCUGUGCAGACCAGUGGUGAAGACACCAUUCAGGUUGUUCAUCCAUAUUUCAUAUUCAAUUACUGAAUUGCAUGCAUGCGUAUAAACCCUACUCUUCUUUGAAUCAGUUGUAAUACUUUUUGCUCUAACCUUGCGCUUGUGUGCAAAAUAACAUAGCUCAUACAGUCAUACUACUUAAUCAAGUCUCGAAGUGUAUAGGAUUCAUUAGAAACUUUUGGCAAUGAAAUAAUUUUUUCAUUUUAUAUAGUUUUCUAACAUUACGAUAUAUAUACUGUACUUAUUGGUCGAUCACAUUACAUACAAGAUGAAACUCAUGCAUGCCUUGUAGUAUAUAUCACUAUUUUGAUUUGUUUUUCAAACUAAAUCUCGACAAGACGAGUGCUGCUAUCUCAUCGAUGAGUUACUGUUCUACUGUUAUUAUAUGUUUUCAGCGAUGCUAAUUUUGUGUGUUUAUUCUUUCGUUAUUAAGUGGUACGCCUUCGAGUUCCUUGUGGUAUGUAUUGGGAAAUAUGGUGACAUACCCAGAAUCCCUGAGUUUCCACACAACAAAGGCCCUCAAGCGUUUCAAGGUCAGGUUCUGCAUUCUCUUGAUUACUGCAAACUAGACAAGGAAGCUGCUUCUGAGUUACUCAAGGAUAAGAAGGUCGUCGUAGUUGGAUACAAGAAAUCAGCCCUUGAUUUAGCUGUGGAGUGUGCUGAGGCAAAUCAAGGUAAUAUAGCUUAGCCUUUACGUUCAUAGUUCUACAUCAUUUGAAUUAUAAGGAUACAAUAUACAAGGCAUCUGUAACUAUUAAGAAGAAAGAUUCACAACGAAAAAUCGAAGAUGAAUAUAGAAAAUAAUUAGUUAAUUACAUAAAUAAAGGUAGGUGUAUAUAUGAAGGUGUGAAGUAUUAUAGAAAUAAGUGAGCUACCUCUCAAUUUCCACGUUAUGGGAUUGGAAUUUGCAUGGUUAGAUUUUCGCACAAGUCACAGUGUGUACAGCAAAGAAAAAUCGAAAAGGUCAUUGAAACUGUCAAACAUCGAUCUGAAACAUCAAUAUAAGCUGGUCUCAACUGCUUGACUUGAACAUGUUUUAAACGAUUCUAAUUUGGGAUGGUUUCACUUAACCUGAUUGGGAUUUCCCAAUCAAUGUUUGACUUAAAACAUGAAAUAGAAUUCCACAAUCGUACUAUUCAGACUUGCUUUGGCAUUUCAAUCACAUUUUCUGUAUUUCUCAUAUUGGUUAUUAUUUUUGCAUGAAUUAAUGAAGGACCAAAAGGGCAACCAUGCACAAUGGUGGUGAGGACUCUACACUGGACAGUUCCCCAUUACUGGGUUUGGGGUUUGCCAUUUUUCUUGUUCUAUUCAACAAGGGCGUCACAGUUUCUCCAUCCAAGACCUAAUCAGAGUUUCAUCAGGACCAUCACCUGCCUUCUAGCUUUAUCUCCUUUGGUAAAUAACUACACAAAAUAACCUUGAUUCAUAUUCAUAUGUAGCUUGGAUAGAAAAUAAGUAACUAGUCUAUCUGUAUGUGUUGUGUGUUCACAGAGGCAUGCAAUUUCAAAGUUCAUAGAAUCAUACAUCCUGUGGAAGCUUCCCUUGGAGAAGUAUGGACUAAAACCAGAUCACUCUUUUGAGGAAGACUAUGCUUCAUGCCAGAUGGCUAUCACACCUGAGAACUUGUUCUCCGAGGCUGAUAAGGGAAGGAUCAUGUUCAAGAGAUCACAAGGAAAUUGGUGGUUCAAUAACGAUGGAAUUGAGUUUGAUGACGGCAGUAAGAUCGACGCUGAUGUUGUGGUCCUUGCAACUGGUUAUGAUGGUAAGAAGAAGCUCAAAGCCAUAUUGCCAGAUCCCUUCAGAAGCUUGUUGGAAUACCCUUCUGGUAUUAUGCCCUUAUACAGGUAAAACUAAUGUUGCUAUCUUGUUUUUCUGAAUCACUAAUAGUUACGUGAAAUAUUGUUUAACGUUUAAGAUUUGUUCUAAAGUAUGACCGAUAACAUAACAUAUGUCACAUUAAUAUGGAUUUUUAUUUUCUGCAGGGGUACAAUUCAUCCUUUGAUCCCAAACAUGGCGUUUGUGGGUUAUUUGGAGAGUGUUUCGAACCUGCAUUCGUCUGAGUUGCGCAGCAUAUGGCUGGCUCGACUUAUAGAUAAUAAGUUUAAGCUCCCAAGUGUGGAGAAAAUGCUGGAGCAGACAACUAAAGAGCUGGAAGUGAUGAAGGACACCACCAGGUUCUACAAGAGGUUCUGCAUCUCUACUUUUAGCAUCAACCACAGUGAUGAAAUUUGUGAGGAGAUGGGAUGGACAUCUUGGAGGAAGAAUACCUGGUUAGCAGAGGCAUUUAGCCCUUAUGGGGGUCAAGACUAUCUGCAGAAAUACUGAACCUCAAUUUAUUAGCAAACGAAUUGAUUACUAUCCUAUUGAAAUUUACAAUUGUGAUGUUCUUUACAUUAGGAAUCAAAAUAAAGAUAAUCUAUUUACAUAAGAAUUUAGGAAAGCAAUGUGCAAUAGUGUAUUAGUGAUUCAUAAUUCAUUCAUCCCAAUAAAAGAAUCUGUCAAUUGUCUAGCUACCUUUUGAAUUCCCAGAAAUGUAUGAUGUCAUAAUAUUGCAGAAGGCAGGGAAAAGAGUUAUAAUUAAACAUGGGCUGCUUGUAAUAGUCACAACGAAUUUGAUAUUCCAUCACACUCUUGACUAAAAUCUUCCACACUGAUAAUGACCCUCUCACUUGCAACCAAGACUAUACUUAAUUUUCAUUGCCAACAAACGUCAUGCUACAAUAUAUAGUUUGGUUUCAUAUAUAGGAAAGAAAACAGUUGCCUUUAUACUUUUCAAAGGUCCAAGAGAGACCAACAACACUAGAAACCAUGAUUGGCUCUCAGUCAUACAAAACUAAGGACUUCUGUAACCCUAUGUAGAGAUAUAGAAUGGACAGAGUGAUGUGGAAAAACUAAACCAGGAGGAGUUUAAAGGCUCUGAAGUAGCUUGAGUGUUUCAUCAAUAUGCUUCUCGGGUUGGAACUGGUUGUUGUAGAUGAGUUGAACCACUCCAUUCUUGUCGAGAACAUAGGUCUGCCUUCCAGGCAAUGUCCCAAACAGAUCUGAUGGCACUCCCCAUUCUUUCCUCACCUUAUUACCUUCAUCACUUAGUAAUGUGUAUGGAAGCUUGUACUUCUUUGCAAAAGCCUACAUACAGGUCAAAUUUCCAAUCAAGUCACAAACUUUCCGAGUCUUCAAGCAUGAGUAAUGAGUUGCAAGGAUUACUAGAAAAUUCACAGCAACAUUACCUUGUGUGAUGCUGAGUCAUCACCACUAAUCCCAACAACCUGUGCUCCAGCUUUUUUGAACUUCUCAUAAGAAUCUCUGAAAGCACAAGCCUAAUGGAAUAUCAAUUUGUCAGUGUCAGCAGUAAUCAAAGGUUCAAUCUUUAUAUGGGUGAUGCAAAUUCCAAUCUGACUUGCAUCUCAAGAACAAUCUGAUCAUAUAUGGAGCUUUCCCUAGAAGCUCUAACUCUGUAGUAGAAAUCACUUGGCAAAACUAAUCUUAAGAUAAGCAAAGCACUGUACCACCUAACCAAUAUAGGAAGUGAACAUUUUCAGAUGAUUAAAUUUCCACUAACCUAAACAAAUGCAAGAAUGUCAUAUAUGUUUUUUGUUUGCAACAGAAAAAAAAUAAAACCUGUUUGGUGCACCCUGGGGUCUCAUCAGCAGGGUAGAAAUAGAGAACCAAAGGCUUUCCUUUGAACUUGGAAAGGCUGACGGAUUUACCAUCCUGAUCUUUCAAGUUAAAAUUUGGGGGAACCUUGCCUUUUUCCACCUGCCAAAACCACACAAAGCCAUAAGCAAUCAAUAAACCAUCAAUUACCCAUAAGCCACACAUCAUAUGAGCACAAGUUAAAGCAAUGUACCUUGCCACAAAUGAUAUUCAUCCCAGAAGAGGAAGAUGGAAUCGGCAAAGAGGUAGAAUUGGAGAGCUUGAGGCCAUAGAAUUGGGAAUUUGAAGAUUUGGAGACUAGUUGAGAAGAUGGGUAGUAGUGUCUGGGAGUUUGAGUGGGGAGUAGCGAAGUGAAGGUGUGCUUGGGGAGAGAGAGGGAAGCCAUUAGAGUGAGAUGUAUCAGGAAUGGAGUGUGUGGUACUGUGAAGUAUGGUGAGUAGUGAUUUGAAGUGGUGUUUUUGUUGGGUGUUUACAUUUGUUGGGUGGAAGAUAAGGGAGUGUUGGAAGCACAUUAGCCUGUUGGAUAGAAUUGGCUUUGAGCGUGGACAAUUGCAGACCCCAACCUUCUAUUACUACAAUUUACACUGUAAAUCUGUAAUAAGUUUUUUUUUUUUUGUCUGAAAAUCUGUAAUAAGUUAAUCUAGAGAUUUGAAGGCUUUCAAGGCUUAAUUUAAACCGGGCGGUUUGUAAACCUGAACCGUCUCAAACCGGUUUAAGAACUUGGAUGAUUUGGACUGCCACGAGGAUCGAACCCAAGUUCUGUGUUGUGCAAAAAAAUAAGUUAAUCUUUGUGUGGUUCAUGAUGUGUUGGAUGUGAAUAACAAUCUUGUAUCGAUUUCUUGUAACUUAUUGAAUAGCAAUCUUAUAUUUCCUUCAACUGAUAAGGUUGUACAUGAACUUGAUUGUGUACGAUAUGCAGAGAAUACAAACAUGUCUACAACUCAACCUGGCAAUUUAACCCAUUACCCGCUACCCGCCCGUUAACCGUCCGUUAAUAACCCGCCUAUUUCCGCCCCAUUACAGUUUUACACCAACGGGUUGACAACCCGCUAAGAACCCGCUAACUAAUAGGCGGAAACGGGUUACCCAACGGAACCCACCCAACCCGCUAAAAAAAAAAACAAGAAGCAAAACUGAUGCAAAGGGUAAAUGGUUUACAGUAAACCUAAAGAAACAAAGCAGUUAGCAGUCUCUCUCUCUCUUCAGAUCGAAACAGUCUCCCACUCUCCCUCAAACCAGUCUCUCUCAGUCUCUUCCUCUUCAGAUCGAAACAGUCUCCCUCAAACCAGUCUCUCUCGGUCUCUCCCUCUUCAGAAACAAACCGCGCCAGUCUCUCUCCCUCUUCAGAUCAAAAUUCAGGUUGGUUUUUGUUUCCUUACUCUUCUGAAUUUAUUGUUUUUGGUCAAAAUCUGAACUGGGUCUGAGAUUGUUGUAUGAAAUUGGUCUUUGAUAAUGAUUUUGUUGAAUUAUUGACUGCUGGUGUUCUGUGGGUUCUUAAUUUUGUGCAUUUGGUGUUUGUGAGUUUGUAGUUUUGACGUGAUUUCAGUAGGCUUUCUGGGUUCUAUACAUUUGAUGUGUGUUUUUGGAACCCCUGCCUUGAUCGGAAUUCCUACCAAGGCUCAGUAUUAGUGUAUUACUGUAUAUGAAAAUGUGAAGCUAACACUAGCUGGACUACCUAGGAGAGAGGUACGAAUGGUGGAGCUAUACUCUAUUGGGAUCAUCCCGUCUUUUUAUCAGUAGGGUUAACAAAUCCUUGUUUGAAGUAGGGUACCAGUAUAUUCCAUAAAACUUGAAAAGCAUGCGCCUAUUCCUGAUAAGAAUGAUUACAUUGUGCUAAGUCUUUGAAUCAGCAUGCGCCUAUUGCACUUAUCUCGUAAAGAUAUGAAUACUAUGAGUAUACGGUUUGCAUGUGACGUGCUUACAAUUCAUAUUUCUACGGUAACAUCCGAGUCUGUAUUCAGUAUUGUUGGUAGAGUAUUGGAUCAAAAUCGAAGCUCACUAUUACCUGAAAUCGUUCAAGCAUUUUUAUGUUGUCGUGAUUGGUUAUUCAGUAAGAAAGGUAAAUUCUCUAUCACUUAAUCACUGUAUUAAUUUCAUAUAUUUUCAUCUUGUGAGUUUCAUUUAAUUUUAAAUUCACUAAAUUUUUUAAUAUAUAUUUCAGAUCAACAUCACACUGAUUGGGAGCAACUUAGUGAAAACGUGCUAGACUUGACAUUGGACGGAUAAAGCAGAUCAUAACAAAAGAGAAACAAGGUGGGAGUACUACUGGGUGUUUAGCGCAAGGUGGGAGUGUAGAAGAGAGUACCUAGUAGUAGUAGUAGUAGCUGACUUGUGUUUGUAGUAGCUGAUUAGUUGACAUAUGAUGUUUGUGUCGAGAGAAACCAAAUUUGAAUGAAUGUAUGAAACUCUGCUGCAUCUUUUUUGUAUAUGAAUAUCAGGUCUUAUAAACUCUGCUACAUCUUUUUUUUAUAUGUGAUGUCAUUUGUAUGCAGCAAAUAUAUACGAGUUGGUCGGCAUCAAUUUUACAAUUAGAUAUUAAUGUUAUAAACUUAUAAUUGCAUAGAAGAGGAGUAAUAUUGUUGAAGCUGCAUUUCUAACAGGUAAAAAUAAAAAGGAAUAUUAGAAGAGAAGAAAAAAAAUAUAGGUAUUUGAUUUGAUUAAAAAAAGAAAGAUUUAAAAAAAAAAAAAAAAAAAAAAAAAAAGGGAAAAAAAAUACGUUUUAGCGGGUCUUAGCGGGUUCCAACGGGUAACCCGCGAACCCAACGAGUUCAACCCGUUACACCCCGUUAAGCUAAUUAGGUGUAGCGGGUUGAACCCGCUAACCCGCCACAGCCCGCCCGUUAACCGCCCAACCCGCCCAUUUGACAGGUUGAUCUACAACCAAAAACUGUCAAGCUAUAGUACAUCGUAAUGUCAAUUUCAGUACAUGUGAAUAACAAUCUUGUAUCCAUUUCCUGUUGUAUGUGUGCUUUUUAGAACUUGGAUUUGUAUUUGUGAAAAAAUGAUCUAGUUAAUAGUUAUGCAACAAGAGCAUAUAUAUGUCUUUGUAUUUGUGAAAAAAUGAUCUAGUUAAUAGUUAUGCAACAAGAGCAUAAAUCUGUAAGACAUAUAUAUGCUCCUACAGUUCUGUUCUUUAUUCGCUUUCUGGAAAAUAGAUUCUGGUUUUUGCUACUGAGCUUCCCAAACUUGUUUUGGUUUGUGUUUAAGUUGAGUUGUUCAUGUAUUGUUCAGGGAUGAAUUUGUAUAUGAACUUGUGCUAUAGUCAAGUGAACUUAUAUAGUUACUGCAUGAACUGGCAAUACUACUGCUGGAUUUGGGUAGGGCUUGUAUUUUCGAAACUAGCAGCUGUUUCGAUUCAUUUGUCCUUAUAAACUAUAAUAGAUGCUAGCUGCUCACCUUUUAUUUAGGGUUUAUAUAUUGAAACCCCUGCUCACUUAUAAAAAUAAAAUUGUCACAAAAAUCAUAAAAUUGAUAAUGAAUUAUUAUGCUUGUUCAAAAAGAAACUAGCUAGUGGCUUUACCAAGACUAAACCAAACCGAAGGGAGUCUCAGCUCUCAACCCGGUUAAUAAAAACCCUCACAAAACCCCCAAGUUCUUCUGAGUUUCUGAAACAUUGAGACCCAUCAUCAGAGCUAUGGAAGGCUUUCAAAAUUGGUUCGGCAAAAUCAAAGAAGAUCUGAAAGCCGCCUCUGAAAAAGUUUCAUCCUCCUCUUCUUCUUCUUCAUCUGCUUCCUUCAAAGCUCCUGGUUCUGAAGAAGGUCUCUCUGCCGUGUUGUCUGAUCAGUCUCGUAUCAUAGUCGCCAAACCUGUCAGGUAACAUACCCUCUAGCUCUAUCCUUCUCAAAGUUUAGAAAUUUCUGAUGAGUGAAUUGGGUUACUCAGUUGUGAAUCUUGUCUUUGACAAAAACUUGGAUUUGUGAGAAAUUUCAUCAAUUUGUGCUAUAGGACCAUAAUGGGUUAUUGUAAGUAACAAAUAUGCUACCAAAGUUUGGUUCUUUAGUCGCUUUUUGGCUAAUUCAUUCUGGGUUUUGAUAUUCAUGUUGUGUUUUAGUAGAGUUGUUCAUGUAUUGGUCAGGCAUGGUUAUGUAGAAGUUAAGUAAACUUCACUGGUUGGACUGAACUUGCAAUGUUGCUGCUGGAACUGAAUGUCUAUGAUUAAACUGAAUUGGUAAAAGUUUUGAUGUUUACUUGCAGAGGAGUGGUUUCACUGUGGACAUGCUCAAAGUUCUGUGCAAUUGCUUUUGUUGCUGGGAUCAUCGUCGGCUAUACCCUGAAGCGACGCGUUAAACGCUGGGCUAACAAGCUUCUCAAAAAGAUCCGAGAUGAUUGAUUGCACCUAGGUUGAGUUAUGUUAUCCCAUUCGGUAGAUUGUCGUCAAUAUACGAGUGAUUCUCUGACAUUAGUUGUGUAAAGAGUGCAUUUUUAGGAGUUUUCAGCUUCUGUUGUGACAAAUGCAUCUCACCUUUUCAAAAGAUAUUGUUAUCCUUUAUGAACUAUUAUGGUAAAGCUCUACUUGUGAGGCUGAAUCUCUUGUUUUCGACUAAAUUUUUAUUCCUGUGGUUAUGAAUUCAUGCAUCUGUUGUUAUAUGUGAUUUAAGUCCCGAAUAAAACUAUAAGAUGAAUUCUGCCUGUUUUGUUUGUGAUUUAUAUGAGAUGAAGAUGUGUGAAACCACUCCUGCAACAAACCUGAAAAAUACAUAUUGAUGAUUAUGUGAUUUGAAUACUGUCUCUGUCAAUCGAUAUAAUACUUCAUCUGUGAACUUUGGAAAUAAAUAGUACGAGAACAUCAAUUUUCAUCUUUUUCUCUUGUUUGAUUGAUAUUAUCUAUGACAUUGGACUAUAUUUCUUUAUAUAUAGGGUAAACAAUUGCAUUUACAUCUUUCUGAGCUACUAUUAUUAUACAUAUAUGAUUGCUCAUCUAUGGAUAAUCAGAAUGAUUACAUAAGAAUAGCUGCACCAUCUUUGUGUAAGUUCCUAGUUUUAAAAGUACUCCUUGUGGAAUUCAAAGCGUGUCGAUGUCUUCUGGCUGAGCUCAAGUGAUAGCAUCUUCAGCUCUUUUGCUAACAUUGGCAUCCCACAGUAGAAUACCCCUGCAAAAUUAAGUAUAUUCUUAGAUCCAGUUAAUUUUGAAGUGUCAGUUUGACGUGUAUUCUUCUGGUAGAGUUUCUUUACCUACUGUCGAAAAUGGAUGCUUGGAAGCUAUCUUGGUAAACACUUCUUUCCAGUUAGGUCUUGCGAAGUGAGUCAUUACCUGCAAAUCAUCAUUGUUGAAAGUUCAGUUAUUCCCUAGGUACAAAAUUGCCCGUUUACUGUUUGUUGAGGGAUGUGGUAAUGAAAGAUCAUACACUAGUGCCAGAUAGGAUGUCAGUCCCAUGUUUGGCAUGGUUGAGAGCUUGGACCAUGGUGAUUAGAGUCGAUCUUGCAUCACCCUCUUCAUAGACACUCGUAAGGUAGUUGUGAAGUUCAAUCUGACCCUGUUAAGAGAAAAGGAUAAGAGAGUCAGGAAGCUCAUCCCCAAAGUUAUGUAACUAUGUUCUGAAAAGAUUAGAAAUGCAUUGCUUUACUUUGUGAUCCAUUUCUGCCACUUCAUCCAUGACUCCUUUAAACCACUCGAAAGAGCCAGGUUCUCUGGUAACCCAAUAGAAAUGAGCAUUUGUAGUCCUCUGUGAUUUCUUCUUGUCAUUUGGUGUCAAACAGGAUGAUGUAAAACUACUUAGGCUGUCUGAUGUACUAGUUUCUGUGUUUGAAUCCUAUGACAAGUGCAUUAACUUUGUUACAGAAAAGAGAAUACUAGAUACUGAGAAACAAUCUAAGAUAAUAUGGAUUGUACCGUUUGUUCUUCUGCUGUUCUUGUACUGUUAAGAAGAUCUUUAAGGAUGCUUACAAAAGGAGUAGCUCCAAUGCCAAGACCCACAAGGAGUAGGACAUCAUAGUUGCGGUAGUCCUGUGCCGGUGCCCCAUAUGGACCAUCAAGAAACAAUUUGGGUUGGUUGAAUAGUCUCCUUUGAUCCAUAGCAGUAACACUAGCUUGAUGAACUAUAGAUAUUGAAUGAUCUCCCUCAGAAAUGGCUCGCUUCAGUUCUUUCGUCCAGUCUCCAACUGUCCGGAUAUGAACACUGAGAUGGUCAUCCCCAGGUGCUGAUGUGAUGGAAAAUGGGUGCCUGAAAAAUCGCAUUCAUGAAAUUAAGAAAGGGUGAGAAUGGAAGGGGAAGUUCGUGUCAUGUGGAAUCACGCUUACCAUUCAAAUGGGGAGAUUGAUGGGCAUUGUAGAAAUAUGUAUUGCCCACUUCUGUACUUAAAUCCAGGUGGCUUGGACAUGAUUAAGCUGAUAACAUUUCCGGGUAGGUUUGAAGCCUGUUAAAGGAUCAGAAACCACCUUAUUAUCUACAAACUCUCAAAUUCCUGAAACUCAGAGGUGUAGAAUUUAGUGAAGUUCAGACACCUUUAGUAUCUUAACUGCAUAGUGUUUUGAUCUACAUGUUCGGAUACUGCGCUCUACUACAUACAGCAGAAAUGGAACAGAGAUGUACAUCCAUGUCUGGGGCAUUCAGGAAGAAAAUGUCAUAAGAGAUGAUUACUGGUAGCAGUUCAUAAAUGAGCCUCAAUUUUUAGUCACUCAAAGUUCUUACCGUUUUCUGAUACCACUUGUGGACAAAGUACAAACAGCUUCCAUGGAUGAGUAGCAAAACGUAGACCAGACCUAGCAGAUGAUGAGAAUACCAGAAGGCAUUAAACCCAGUCAGUUUGUUGAAGGGGGCAGGAAGCCUCACCAUGUUCUUCCGAAAGUGACUCGCUGCUAGUGUGAAUGAGAUAGCCAUAAAAAUCACCAUCAGAAUUCCAGUCAAUCCCUCUGGUCCAGUGAAUAGGAAUUCAUACGUUGGCUUUUUGCCGUGGAAAUCAGCGGAUAUUGGCGCAAAUUCUUCCGGAGAUGACUUUACUAGACGAGGAAAGUCACAUGCCACAUGGUUCCCAGCAUGAACAAUUAUUCCAAUUGCUAUAGCAAAUGCAAUCAUCUGUUGGAAAAUAUCAAACAGUUGUUCAACAAAAGAUAGAAGUCACAGAACCAGUGGAAAAUGUGUGAUUGACUACUGACUAGCCCUUUACCUUGUGGAAGUUAGUACUGUCAUCAAAGGGAAUGAAGGACCUAGCUCGUGUUGAUCGAAGCCAUGUUAGCGUGUUACGACAAACAGGUAAAAGAAUGAGGGCCAUGUUAAGCUUCAAAGUUUCUGCCGCACCUUUGGCUACUGGCAAGCAAUAGCGGAUGACUUCAAAUGCUGCUUUGUUUCUGUACUGGUAGAAUUUCCAAGCAAAAAGUGAAGCCAUUGCAACAAUCCACAGUAAUAAAAUCCAACCGCGCUGCCAAUUGUCUAGUAUGAGACAGUUAAGUGAACGAUUGAGUCUCCGAAGCAGAUUCUUGGGUCGGAAGGAACUCAGGUUCUGACUCCAAGCUACACUUACUGCACUCAAUGGUCUGCUAUAGUCUAUGUAAACAUCCCUCUGUAAAAGCAGUGCUUCCAAUUGCCAAAGCUGAAUAAAGGGUGAGUGAACAUGAGAGGCAACGUUUGAAUCAUUGACAUGAACAUCAAUACUCGAAGGUUCUCAUUUUUACCUCAAUAUAACCAAAGUUUUCCGGGUCUAGUUCUUCCAUUAUCAAUGAAGCAUAUUCUUCUGCUUGUUCUUUCAGCUUUGAUAGCUUGUUUGCAGAAGCACUCAGCAUUAUAAGCUAUAAUUCAAAGAGACAUUCAUUGUAAGUUCAUACCAAGUAAAGCAUUACAUGACUGCUAGCACAAUAGUUACCAAGUUACUAUGGAAUUCUAGAUUAGGAGAUUAACUAAUUACUGAACAAUUUCUUUACCUCUUGCACUCCCUCCCUUGUGAUUCUUCCAUCCUCAUUGCUAUCUGCCCUGAAAACAAUUCAAACCGAAAAUUUUACAAAAAUGAAAAAAGGAAAAACUUUUUACCAACUAAACAACUAGAUAAGAGUCAUAAGACAAGUGAAUUUCAUGGGUAAGAAAGUCAUGAACUUUAUGGUGGGUUAGAAAAGCAUGAACUACUUUGCAAAAUUCACACCCACACAGAUAAGGCAAAGAUUGCACAUAGUUCAAAACCAUUUUAGCCUAAAAUUUUCAGAGAUCUUGAAUCUUGAUGGGGGUUCAUCUAUUCAAAGUAGAUAGAACACACAAAAGACACCACCAAACGCAAACAAGACUCUCCAAAAAGAGAAUCUACCCAAAAACUAAAAACAAAUUAGUGCACUAAUCUGGCGGGUAAUUUGACCAUAAUCUGGGGCCGUCGAUUUGUUAGAAAUUGGACCUUAACUCUCAAAAGUAGACCUGAUCAAAGGCUGAGAACACGUACAUGUCGAAGAAAAUUUGAAGGCGCGCAUCAAAGCUCUGGUCCGAAAUUUGUGACCAAAAAUCACGAAGUUCUUCCUUGCUGAUCUUCGUAAUGUUCUGCCGCCGUCUCCUGGCCAAUGUGUCAAAUAUCCCCACCGCAAACUCCUCCGAGUCCGCCAUCCCUUCACACACAGCCAACGCAUCAUUUUCAAGUUUCAAUAAAAGAAGUUACACGUUACAUUAAUGUAUCGAUACAUUGCUUAUAUUAUCGCAACAAACUAUAACUUGGUAGAAGUUUAGAUUCUCACCUAUGCAUCGACCAAAGUCUGCUCUGGCGAGCAAUCCGUCGACGGCCAGCGACUCGAACCUGGCCUCGACUUGCUUCCACAGCUCCUCGGCGUCGCUAGGUCCGGUGGUCUUACUAAUGAACCUCAGGCCAUUGAGAGCUCUUUGUGCGCCCGAUCUCGUCCGUUGAAGCUUCGCCUUCAACCUCCUCGCCUCGCGUGGCGGGAGCGGGAGCUCGCUGGAGUUGGACGACGCUGCGGUCCUCGAAGACGUCGAUCUGAUCAACCACCCGAAUGUACGACGAAGGCUCCGUGACGUGGCGGAGAGGCUCCUUCCAAGCAUUCCUGGCCCCGUCUCCUCCUCCUCCGACGUGCCGCUUGCCACCGGCGCGACGCUGCACACGACAAUGUCAUCGUCGUUGUUGUUGAGCUCUAGUGUGACCUCAACCAGGUCUUGGUUGUUGUGAUUAAGGUCGUUGAGAAAUAUAGGCAGCAUUGCACCGCCAACUAGGUCUUGGCGGUGGUGCUGUCGAUCAUGAUCAGAUAAGCUAAAGUUUGAUCUCGCCGAACCAAACGAGGACCUCGCCGGCGACGUCGUCAUUAUAUAAAGAAAUUUCAGGCCAACUUAGACUGAACUUAUGUGGCGGAGUGAGUUGAAACGAUGAAGCGGUGGAAGGGUUAAUUGGGUCACACGUUUGGAGUCGGAUUGAAAUGGUGUUCUAAGAAAACAAGACAAACACCUCUCAACUGAUCACUCCUACACGAUUUCAACGCUUUUGUGGUUUCCUCUAGAGCUGUAUGUGGUAGUUGAGAUUUUGCUCAUGAAGCCAAAUGUCCCCGAGACAAUUAUUCCACUUGGAGAAGAUUAUAUACCAGGAAUCUUAGCUCUCAAAGACAAAAUAAUACUGCAUGUUAAAUUUUUGUUGUAGUUUUGUCUUUUGAGAGAAAGUGUGUGAAUCUAAGAAAAAUAAAAGGAAGAAAAGAUUUACAUUUCUUGCAAUGCACUUUUUCUUUUUUGUUGAAACAAAUAUUGCAAUGCAUCAUUAUGUAUACGGCUAAUUUUUGCUAUUGCGUACACUUUCAUCACAGUCAUUUUGUUAUUUUUCCUCAAGAUCGUAUCCUAAAUUUUAUUAUAACAGUGAUUAAUUCAGACGUACUUUCUGCUCGAUUGGAUUAAAGAGAGAUCAGAAAAGGGAGAUACAUAGGGAGAUGCAUGGAGGAGCUACAAUAUAUGGGUAUGAUAUAUAGUGAUACAAUUCGGAAAGAAAUUAUAUAUAGAUGCAUGUAAAGAGUGGCAUUACAUCGAUGUAUCCAGUAUACUAGUUAUAUCCAACUAUUAGCAUCAUGAACGCUCUGCGUGGCCAUUUAACCAAGGUCAGGAGGAACAGUGUCUUUAUUUUAGAUGAAUAGUGAUGCAUGGAAUUAACUAAUUAAGCAGAUCAUUAUAAGAAGGGAAACAGCGAGGAAUUGUAGUUUAGGGUUUAGGAUCCAAUAGUAUAUAGGUUGUUGAUCCGUCAGCCUCACAACUCGAUUGACAUAAUCCACCAAAACAUGCUUGCCUCUUUUUUUCCUUUUCUUUUUCUUGUAAAUGUAACUUCAAUUCAUAACUGAUCGACAAGUAUAUAUUCGCUAGCUAGUUUAGUUGAUUUAUCAUACAUCUAAAGUUUAAUUAACGCAUAGACCUUCAAAGUGGUCUCUUUUAUUUAAUUCGUGCAUUAUUAUUUUGAAUCAAUAUAACUUUCUUAAUAUGACUUAUUCUCUCUCAAGUCUCAUGUUUAGUUAUUUAACUUUAUUAAUUAUUGGUAGGUUUGCAACGUCGAUCUCAUCACUUGGUGCUGGAUACUAUUAUAAGCAUAUAUAUGGAAUUAGCUAGGCUCAAUUAGCUAGUUCGCCUUUUAAUCAAGUUAAUUAUGUAUGGAGCUAUGAUUAAAAACACGGAUCAAUGAAGCCGGUGUGGUAUAUAUAUUAUGUUUCAAAACUCAACUGGCAAUUACAAGAACUAGUUCGAAAUUAAUUUUGAGUUGGAAUAGAGCCAUUUUUGUCGUGUAAUGAUCAAGAAGCAGAACUAGUUUCAUAUUAAUAGGAUUAAUCCAAAACAUCCAUUUAAUUUCUCGCAUAAUAUCCAAUAGCAAUGAUAGAUGAUUAUUAGUUAAUCCUGCAUUGACUUUGUUCAGUUGUUGUGUCCUUUUUUUCCAUUACCAAAAUCCAGGGAGGUUCCGAGUUACCUACUUCCAUAUAAACGACUAUUUCAACUUCGAGUAUUAUAUGUAGAUUCUGUGUGUGUGUAAAUCUAUAUUAAAGGAAAACAGGGUAGGUGGAUCAAACUUAAUAAUCAGACACUUCGUACAAAUAAUUGUUUCGGAACUCAAGUUUACAAAGUAUUUGGUUCAUGAAAAACUAAUUAAACUUAUGAUUUUGUUAUUAAUUAUAAGUGAUGAAAGAAUGAUCUUAAAUACAUUGAUCUAGCUAGCUCCAAUAUCAAAGGAAGUGACAAAGUAAAAACCAAUCGAUCAGUUCCAAACCCUAGCUAAGACUUAUAUAUAUACUUAACCAACUGAAACAUCAUGUAUUUUUUUUAUACUUUGUUCGAGAGGACGAUCAAAAUAUAUAUACAUUUUUCGGAACAUUUUCUUUCUAACACGUAGUUAAAUAGCAAAAAGUUGUUCAUUUCCUCGUUUUAUUUUGCAAUAGUUAUGCUAAAGAAAAAUCAGUUGGAAACUACUUGAUCGUUAAUUUCAUUGUCAAUAUGUACUACAUCAGUCUCAGUACAUAGCAAAGACACAUAGUACAUAUAUAGUUUUUUUUUUUUUUUUUUUUUUUUUGAGAGUACACAUAGUACAUACUCAAUGUUUAUAAACAAAAAGGUAAAUUAAGAGUUUAACUGUUUAAGACAUCCGCGAACAAAGAUUUUCAUGAACCUCAUUCUCUAAACACAUAUAUUUAUGAGAAGUUCAUACGGGAAGGUGGAAACUAUGUGCCGUACGUUGAAGACGAUAGCGGAAAACAAUUAGGUAGGAAGGGAAAGCUAGCUCUAUAUCACUUGUAUAAGGUUAUAUAUAUUAAGUUAUAUAUAAGGUUCGUGUCUCCCACUCCUACCUAGACUUCACGUACAUGAAGAGUUGAAGACACAGACUGGUGAUCGACUUGGUGCCUUGGUGGUGGUCUAGCUCUCCUUAUAACUUCCAGUUUCUUAUAUAACUACUUAAAUAAUAAGCCAAAAAUCUUCUGAAAGUGAUUAUGUAUUUGUUUGUUCUUCGUUUAUGAAUUUUGCAUCCAAUUUGUACAGACUUUUGCUAUAUGCUCUUUAAUAAAAAGAAAUCUCAAAGAUUUAGCAAGGACGAACAUUACGAUCCAUUGGUUUUCUCAUAGAUAUGAAACAUACACAUUACCAGAUGAGGCUGCCUAGCUUAGCUAUAUAUAGCACAGGGUGUUGUUAUCCUUUGGCUUUAGCUGGUGGUGUGUAACUUGGUCAUCGACAUCGACUACCUAACUAGCCUGUGUCAUCGAUCUUUCUUCUGGGAAAUAAAAUACGAAUCGAAUGUUUGAUUAUUACACAUGAGACUUGGAGGAUUAAUAUAAUGUGGAAUAUCGAUUGAGUUGGUCGACUGGCGUAUAUAAUAAGGUCUUUAUGUAUUUGCUUACAGAGUUGCAGGGUAAUAGAGUUGAAAUUAGUGCGUGAUUAUUGAUCUGGAUUCUGGAGGGUACGUAGUUAUAGCUAUAACCUCAAACUUCGAUGAAACAAUUAACAAUUUAACAUGUAUGGCUUUCAGCUAGGGCGUGAUGAUAUUUCACAGAAUGAAUUACGUACUAACAUUCCUACUUAACAUCAAGGUUGGGAAAACCCAAGGUUGUCGACUUUGCUAAUUACUUAAUUUCACCAUAAUCAUGAUUAGUCAGUUAGUUAAUCAGUCAUAGAAGCUAGCUGCAUGUACCUGAUCAGAUGAUGAUCGAUGUUAACUUGCUUACGUUGAGCUAUAGUACUUGCCGUUAAAAUUAAUGAAGUAGUUAAGAGUUAAUUACUUGCUGCUUAAUUAAUUAACAAGUAUAGUGGUGUCUUCUCUGAAAGGCAUAGCUCACGGGUUCUUUCUUUUUUCUCAGAAGAAACAGAGACCAUCUCAUUCAUAGGCACCACAAAGAUUAUUACACUAUAUAUGAAUCCAAAAUCAGCUUAUAGAAAUAAACUGAUCGAUCACCCAACUCAUUGACUUUCGUUGCAUAUUAAACUUUCAAAUGCAGCUUGCUAGUUUCUUGUCACUCCUAAUUGCAAUUGGGUGAGUAAGUACUUCGUACUUCAAAUGGUAAUGAGAGAGCUGCAUGUACUGCUUCAAAUUCUGUAGGAAACAAAGUACCUUUUUAACCCAGUUUUAGGUUUUCUGCAAUUGUACUCCCACCUUCGUACUGGAAAUUAAUCGAUAAUUUACCAAACAGCGAAAGGUAGUGAAAGCAUAAGCAGGCUAGGGUUUGGUUAAUUUGGUGAAACCUAGCAAUCAACCAGAAGGGAAAUUAAGUCGACAGAUCAAUCGAAACUGUCUUAAUCCAGAUAUACGUAGUUUGUCAUCAUUUUGAUGAUGAUACUAUUGUAAUGCAUGGCCAGUUUGAUUAAAGACAGUGACACAGAAUCUAUAGCUGUGGCUUAAUUAGCAGCAUUACUGAGUCCGGCCAUUAUCAUUUCAGUUCACUUGUUAAAAUCCUUUGAGUUGAAGCAAUUAACUGAGAGCCAUUGAGCCUCCAUUGUUCGGUCGCUUUGAUCUUGUUGGUUUUCAGGUUUCAAUCUGAAAAUUGCCAGAUAGCUAGGUCAUCCUAGAUUCUAUAAUACUGGCUCUGUUCCAAGAGAUAACUAUAUAUAUUGCGUAGGAGGUCCUCAGUUUCAUCACAAGGCCGAACGAAAAGCCCACUAAGUUUUGGCGGGAAGAAGUGCUGCGGAUGAUGGUUAUAAGUUUCUCAAAUGAGAUUGUUAAGAAGAUGUCACCAUUACAAAAAAAUAGAAAAUAAAAAGGUGAUUCCAAAGAUGAAAAUCUUAAUGCAUAUGCAAGAGGUUGAGAUCUAUUUGAAAAUUAUCUCAUCCAUUUUUAGAUGCAGAAUAAGGAGACUCCAGGAUAAGUUGAUGAUUGUUUUAAAGUUCAUCAAUAUUUAGAAACCCAAACAACAAAAGAACCUAAUUAUUAAUGAAAAUUCUUAUACGCACGACGUGUAUUUACACGAUGCAAUCUUAAUCGUUCAUAACAAUUCAUAUGUUUGACUACCAUAUUUAUAUAUUAUUUUCUCUAAUUAUGACAGUUCAUAUAUGUAUGUGAAAAUACAUGCUGUGUACUGAAGAUGUUCUCAAUUAUUAAACAAAAACCAAAAUAAAAGAAGCCCAAACCUAAGCCCAAAGAGAACUCGGGCCUUAGGCCCAUGAUCAAAGCCCAAACCCAAUUUGGAUCAGAAGAGCCUCAUCAUGUUCUCCCAAUCCAAGCCGUCGUUGCAUCGCUGCACUUUCACUAAUCACUAUGGCCACUACUGCAACCGCCGGCAUCGACCUUGACCAUGCUACUAUCGGCCAAUCCCACCGGCCACGAUCCACCGGAUCGAGUAGUAGUGUAAAGUUUACCCAUGAGUUGAAAUGUGCGGUGGUAAUCACAUGCACAAAAGGCUUUGAUGUGAUGAAGAAAAUAAAAAGGUAUUGGAAGUAAUGUUUUUAUAUUUGUCAAACCAUUCUUAAUAUCAAUCCUAUCAACCAACAACCCAAACCUUUACCAUCCAGACAUUAUAUCUUUAUCUUUAUAAGACUUUGUAGUAAUGUUGUGAGUAUCAAGUUGCUUAAAGUAGUUAUAAAACGAUAAUGCUUCAAGGUACGUUGUUGUAUUCGAUACUUUAAUCUGCAAAUUGUAACUUAAAAUGCUUGUUUUUUAGUAGUUUACAAAAGAUGCAAAUGGGUAGGCAUAUAGUAUUGCUACCCACUUCUAAUACGCAACAUUUGUUAAAGCUUCUUAGUAGAGUAUUUCCCUAACAUUAUCAAUCACUUGUAAAACACUCUUGCUUUAUAAGUACUAGGAUGCACAUAAAGAAAAAAGAAUAUAUGAAUUCAUAAUGUCUCAUUUCACCAAAAACAAAUUUGCUCUUUCUUACAUAUGCACAUAUACGCUUUGAUGUCUCAUUACACCGACUUAAUAAAUAUAAGUUUCAUUUGUUUCACGUUAGAUCUCGUCAGAUACGUUUAUAAGUCAAAUAUAUUAUUAAUUUAAAGACGCAAAAAAGUAAACGGAAAAUGAAGAGGUAAUGACUUGGCAAAGGACUUGGGCUGUGGAGAUUCCUGUAAAAGCACGUGGACCCAAACCAACAAAGUAAGCCCAUGACGCGUAUAUUUACACUUUUCCAAAUUUAAAAUCCAAAAGUUUAAUUAGCUAAAAUCCCUCUCCCUAUGAAUACCCUCCUCCCCUGUAUCUUCGUCCUCACCAAAGCACAUUCAUUCUCCACAACAUAAAUAUUUUCCAUAUUAUUGUAGUUUAUUCAUAUCCUAUAAUGCAUUUUGGGGUCUCUCACAGAAUCUUCAAUCUUUGAUUUGAUUUACUUCAGGGCCGUUGGUUUUGUUUGGCUGCCAGAGAAAACCGAAAAAACAGAGUGUGCCUCCGAAACCGGAGGUGAGAGAGACUCCGAAAAUUUAUGAGAGAAUUACAAACAGUCAAACACAUCAUCCAUCUAAUCUCCAUUUUCAGCUCUGGAUCAUGUUCUUAUUUUUAUUAUUUUAGCAAAUUUUUUCCUCUGAAAGAAAAACAAAACAAAAAAAAUCUCUGUUUCUCCCUGAAAGGUGAGCUCUCUCGCUCUGAAUUUUCCUUCCGAAGCUCCAUGGCCUUCCUUCAUCGGGUUUGCUGCUGAUGUCCUCUUUCCUCCUCAAUCCUCAGGUACCCUUUUCCAUUAUGUAUCAUUUCUUCAUGUUUGUAAUAAUUUUGGUUGAGUUCUGGGACUUGUAAUCUUCUAUUUCUUUGUUGCAUGGUUCUGUUUGAUAUUCUUCUGUUGUAGAUCUUAAUGUCUGGUAAAAUAUUGGCCUUGAUUUGAUGGUAUGGUAAUCCCAAUUCAUCAAAAUUUUCAUUUGACAGGCAACUCUGGAAUUUGUUCUGAUUUAGUUAGAAGCUUAUGUUAAUCUAACUCAAAUCUUAGCCAAAGAAAAAAAAUUGAGCUGAAAUGUUGUAUUAAGGAAACAUAUGGAGAAAGAUAGCCCAUGUUGGUUUUUCAGUUCAUUUGAUUUGAUUAAGAUACUUGAAUCAAUUUGUUGGAGAUUGUACAAUAAGGAACUUGGGUGUAAAAGUUUAGAUUUGGUACAACUAUUGACAAUGAUUACAAAAUUUCUGUAGUGGAAGAAGAUCUGAUGAGACCUUGCUUGGGAUUGUUUUGAAGAUUGUGAUAAAUCUAACAAUGGAUGAGCAUCAUGGUAGCAGCAAGUUGACUGGAAUUAGGCAGAUUGUUAAGUUCAAAGAAAUCCUGCAGAAAUGGCAAUCUGUCACGUUAGGCUCGAAAGGGAAUAAUAGCCCCAGAAAAGGGGGCAGUCCCCAUUCUCGUUCGGAUCGAUUGGUAGUGAGGUGCAGCCCUCAAUCCCAUUCUGGUCGAAGGGUGACAAUGGGCAGUCCUAGUCAUAGUACCCUUUCGGCGGAAAACAGUCCCUUAUCUAGUCGAGGAACCCUUUCACCAGCAAUUAGUAGGAGGCUCACAAGUGUUAUUGCUUGUGAUUCGGAUGAGGAAUCAUGCGCAAGCCCCGAGCCGCCAUCUGAUGUCCCCGAAGGGUAUUUGGCGGUUUAUGUUGGACCAGAGCUUCGGAGGUUCAUCAUUCCCACAAGCUACCUUAGUCACAACCUUUUCAAAGUGUUGUUGGAGAAGGCUGAAGAGGAGUUUGGAUUUGAUCAUAGCGGGGGGCUCACUAUUCCUUGCGAGACGGAGACCUUCAAGUACCUCUUGAAGUGCAUGGAGAACCAUCAGAAAGCUCACCCUGAUGACACCCCAGGUAACUAGCUAGACAUCAUAACGUCAUCAUAUUGAAUUAUUGGUCUCACAUUUCACCGUGUGAAAAUGAGUUCCGAUGACAUUCCCAAUUUUUGGUGGUUUUUUGCAGCUGGAGCAUGGAAAUUGAGUGAGGAAGCAGAAGAGUAAGUAAUUAUGCUGAUAUUGGUUUUUAGUGAUCCAGAAUUUUAGGGCUGGUUUUCUGGCGUAAAGCAGGGUAUCUCCUUGUGUGCAGACAUCUUCUUGCUCUUUCCUUUUCUUUUCGGUUUUUCGUCAUUAACAAACAAUUAGGACAACCUUUUAGUUAGAGAGGAUUCAGGUGGUGUUUGUUUCUGUUGCCUGCAAUUUGGCGAUACAGAAUGGUGUUAUGUAUAAACUACAUCUGAUGUUUGAUCAAGUAUUAAACACAUUUGUCCCUCCAGCACUUAUAUAUGCCAUUUAUAUUAACCUACAGCUUCUGACCAAAAGAGAUUUCUUUGCUUAUUUCUCAAGUGCUAUUAUAAACAACCUUGAUGAGGCCAGAAUCGAGUUCACAGCAGAAUGAGAUCUUCAACAUCAUGCAUCUGAUUCUUUCUUGGUUUUUUAAACUAUGGCACAUGCUUAAGCUUGAAGUCCCAUAUAUAAUGGCCUUCAUGUACCAAUUGUUUCUGCACAUGGUUUCCAGAAACACAAUCUCUAACUUCAGAAAUAAUUUUGUUCGUUCGGUUGGUAUUAUUGAAUAUCAUAUACCAAUUGGCAGUUAUAUGUAUAUGAUCAUGUGAAAGACCAAAUUUAAAGACAGACAUUUUUGUAUCUUUUAAAUUCGAUCCAGGCCAGUACUCCCCGAGAUUAAACUGUGGGGAUUAAACGACUUGAACUCCCUCCAUGCACGACAGAUUGACAGAUUUACAGAACUGAAGAUUGAGCCUUGAGCUUUGGUGGGAGGCCCAAAUAACAGAUCGAUUGGUUUACGUUUACAUCUAAAAUAAAUUAAUCAAUAUUCGCCGUGAAGUAAAUGGUAGGGAUGGCAAUAAUCCCCAGUGGGUAGGGUAUAUGGGUAUUCGACUCUACGAGAGAGAUAUAUGGGGAUAAACGAGUAUUUGUUCUAGUAUAUUCUGUAUCUUUCUAGAUAUUCUUUAUGUGUCUUGGCCUUAUGCCAAUAGGAUAUGUAGUUAGACUAGAUCUAUGUAUUCAUAUUCUUACCAUAUUGAUAUUGUGUAAUUCCCUAUAUAAAGGGCUCCUAUGAAUGAAUAAGAUGAUGAUUCUCUUGCUAUCUUUUUGUCUUUACACUUUAUCCUUCAUCACGUUAUCAUGCACUUUGUUCUAACCCUAGAACUAAUAGCCCACCAUUUUUUUUUUCAAACCCUAAAAACCAAAACAGGAGGUUCUCGGCCCUGCCUCGGCCGCCGCCGUCGCUUCUCGGCCGUCCACUCCGCUGCUUUCUUUUCAUCCGAUUAAGCAUCCAAGUGUUUACGGUAUGUUUAUUUUACAACCCUAAAACUCUUCCAAGUUCAAUAACCUCGGAGGAGAUAAAGUGUUUUCUCCCUUUCUUCUACUCCAUUCUAUGCUUGGGUCGAUGUAUUUACAGUUACCAAAAAUCCCAGAAUUUUAUUCGCGGGUCAAGUGUCACACCCCGGUUCUUAAGUUAUUUUACGGUUAUUUACUUUGGUGUUAUUUUGGUCUUUUACCGUGUUGAGUAACCGUUUACUACUUAAGGACCCUAAAGUUGACUUUUUCUUCCGUUUGAAAUUUGGGAAAACUUCCUUCAUGAAAGUUGUAGAGGACGUUAAACGGAGUUCGUGGACACGCGGCACGCUUAAAACGGAGUUCGUAUGAAGAAGUUAUGGUCUAAAAACGAAAAUUUCUAUAUUGGUAAAAAGAGGUAAAUUCUUGUAGGCUUUAUUUUGUGGGAGUUUUAAGUUUGGACUGGGUCAAGAGGGGGUCAAAGCCCAGCCACUCUCUCUCUCUCUCNNNNNNNNNNNNNNNNNNNNNNNNNNNNNNNNNNNNNNNNNNNNNNNNNNNNNNNNNNNNNNNNNNNNNNNNNNNNNNNNNNNNNNNNNNNNNNNNNNNNNNNNNNNNNNNNNNNNNNNNNNNNNNNNNNNNNNNNNNNNNNNNNNNNNNNNNNNNNNNNNNNNNNNNNNNNNNNNNNNNNNNNNNNNNNNNNNNNNNNNNNNNNNNNNNNNNNNNNNNNNNNNNNNNNNNNNNNNNNNNNNNNNNNNNNNNNNNNNNNNNNNNNNNNNNNNNNNNNNNNNNNNNNNNNNNNNNNNNNNNNNNNNNNNNNNNNNNNNNNNNNNNNNNNNNNNNNNNNNNNNNNNNNNNNNNNNNNNNNNNNNNNNNNNNNNNNNNNNNNNNNNNNNNNNNNNNNNNNNNNNNNNNNNNNNNNNNNNNNNNNNNNNNUUUUUUUUUUAAAAUGCCCAGUCUGCAGAGUUCGCGUGAGGUCCAGCAGGAGACGUCGAGGCAUAGUGACCCAGCUAUCAGCUACAUUUCGCCAGUAGGUUACCUGUUUAAUCUACUAGGAGUUUGUUAGCUUCCGUUGUAUUUUAUUUGAUUUUUAGUAGCUCUGAAUACUAUUGGAAAUCUUAUGUUUGUAUUCUGGCUACUUAUGGAUUGUAGCUGAAGAUUUAUUUUAUUGGAAUAAAAAGUGGUUCUUAAAUUCUUAAGUUAGGGUUGUCCAUUUUCGAGGGAGGUUUGCCGAGUUUCGGUAAAUUUUCCUUGGAGGUGGUCCCCGCAGGAUUUACCUCGGGUUUCAGGGUGAAAUUCGGGGUGGGUCCUGACAUCAAGAGUGUGUUUGAUCACUCUUGUUUUCUUUUCUGAAUUGUGUUUGAUCAAUUCGUGGCUUUUCCAGAUUGUGUAUGAUCAAUCCGAAGGACAAACCAUUAAAAGCAUUGUUUGUGACCUCUAUCGAGUCUCAUAACAGCUUGGUUUUGUAUGCAAGAGCGAUGUAACAUUCUGCUUCUUUGAGUUUUGACGUACUCGAUGCCUAAGGCAAAUCUUCGUUUGGUAUCUGUGGAACCUUUCAUUGGAAAGGAUUAAACCACAUGUUUUGACCCCCAAACUAACAAGCCUAGAUGCCGAGAUUUCACAUCUCAUGCGCUCAAAGUCUUUGACGUGCCAUAUCGACAAAAGCCUUCAAUGACAAUCUGUGCAAAAAGUAAUGACCACAAAAUACUGUGGAAUGCACUCAUGGAGCGUUUCUUGAAACGUUCAUAUAACUCUACUUGUUGAGUUAUUAGUCAAGUGGAUUGCUCACCACCUUAAUUGACUACAUAUUGUCGAUAAUUUUUUGUGGCAUCAUGAUCCAUAAUCUUUAGCGGAUUCGAUCAUUAUCAAGUUCUCUAGGUCCUCCAAAUUGGUUUGGAAUUACCAACGAGACUUGAUUUUGAUCAUAUAAACGGGAAUUGUAUAUACGCUAAUGUGAUAAACUUAUUUGGGAUUAUCCCCUAAUGUGGGGACAACAAUAUGGGUCAUGACAACGGCAGAAAACGUCGUGCCGAUGUCUAGAAAAGAGGGGGAGGUGUCGCCGACUCUAAUAGCAACACUCUCGGUCUAGACACCAUUUUGUCAAAACUAAUCGCGUCAGCUCAUGACAAUGCAACCGUUGUGGAUCUUCGGAUCAUUGGUUCAAGAUUGUCCAGCUCCUUCAAAUUGUGAAUGCAUACAAAAAGGUACGGAAAAUCAAUAUGAGGACAAGAACGUCAUCCUUAUGAUCGCGAAUUUCAAAGAUUCGGAUCCUGCUCUAGCUACCCAUGACUUUGACGUCAUCGGCUAGACAUUGAUUUUCGUUCUAAGCUAUAUGUACUAAGGCGUUGUAUCGACGUCCUUCGUCUAUUUGAGACCUCGAUGUACACACAUUAGCAAUAAUGAAUGUCUUGAGAAUUUUUUCAAAGUUAUGAAAUUAUUCUCCUCUUUUGGUUCGUAUUGAUUUACAAACAAGAUGUACAUUUUUACAUCGUCCUUAGAAGCAUGGCAUAUUUACAAUCUACAUGGUUAGAUUGUGCCGUUUUGGUCUCUUCCAAGUGAAGAUAACGCACGGCCUUGCAUCCUCAAGAAGGAUCGCUAACGUGUUUCCAGUUAAGUCUUCUACCCUUUAACGGAUUUUCCAUCAUCAAUUAUUCAACUAGGCUCAUCCAAGCUCAGUGUGAUGUCUUAGAAUUGUCUGAAAUUAAGGAGAUAGUGGUUUCAAGUGUGUCUCGCUCUAUCAAACCUCCACGGACAUGCCUGGUCAUACUGACUUGGAGUUACCGAAAGCUUUUGAUUUUGGAUCCCUCUACGCUAUUAAACCAAUUACUAUCUUGCAAAAGACAUUGAAGACUUAUCAAAACCGGAAAAUUAUCAUCAUGAUCGAAUCCUCUAGGUCCUCUGAGUUAGUUUAUGUUCAUAUUAGGGAGCUUUUGCUAACUAGUCAUGGAGCUUACGACCUUAGAACGACCGAAAUGACUUGGUUUUGAUCAUACACACAUAACUUUUGGCUAAGGCAAAAGCCUACAUGCCACCUGCAAACUUCACAGCUUCGCACAUGCCAAUUCUGUGAAAAACAGCAAUCUGUCCCUUCUGGACAGUCAACUUUGUUUGAGCUUUGUGAAUAACUUCGAACGAACUAGACAUUAUAUCAUUGAAAAGCUCUACGAGUCUAGUUUUCAGAAAUUUUCACGGUUCAUCCAUAUCUAUUUUAACGAAGAAGUUAUGGCUGUUUUAGUACGCAAAGGUCAUUCUGCGCGGAAAUUUUUAUGCACUCGGGAUUGCAGCUUUUUGUAGCUUCUUUCAAUCCUUCUAAAUGGUUCAAGUGGAACUAUUUACUCGCCUAUCUACUCCUUGUAGAUAUGUCUUAUAGAGACAUUGAGUGCUUCGCAGACAGUGGAACUAUCCACAAUAUUCCAAGGAACCGGCAACUAUCUUUAGAUUUUAUGCCUUUGUAAAUUUUCUGUGACUACAAUGAUUGAAUCAUACGGUCAUUCAGGGACAUGGUUUAGCUUGAAUCUUGAUGCCUUAUGGCACCAUGAUCAAUGUCACAGAUACCCUCUAUGCAUUGAGAGGCAAUCGAACCAUGUUGAGCUUUAAAGACAUUCAUGCUAAUAGUUUUCAUUUGAAAACACAUUGUGAGAAUGAACAAGAGUUCUUUUCUGUAUAGCUUCUCAUGAAUACGGACUGAAAUGCAUCUUAGAGAAAUUUAUAAGUCGGUCUAGUGGAUUGUAUGUCACUAUGUUUCGAAUAUCGAAUCACAUGUUGUCGCCAAACAUAAUAUUUGGGACACCGACUCAUAUAGGCUUUGAUUUGACCAAAUCGGUCAUCCUGGAAGAGACAUAAUGAUCCAAAUUUUGAGAAACUCUCAUAGACAUUCAUUCUUCCGCUCAAAAUGAAGACAUUCGGGAUCUAGCAUCACCAUGAAGUCUAGUGGUGACCCGGGGGACAUUGACGUCACCUGAACACGGCUCCAACUUCCCGGAGGCCGUUCGGUCAAUUCCUCAAGCAAUUGAGGUGGGCUUUCCCUCGAUGUCUCAUUGGCCCCCUGCAAUGCUCAUUGCUCGUUUUGAAAGCCUAUUUUUUAGCUAAAUUAGGAGUGAGACCGCCUACGCUAAAUGACACAAAAGAGAAUAUUUCAUUCUUACAUCAAACUACGUAGAUAUAAACAACCAACUUGCGGUUUAUGGUGUUGGUUGAAGUGUUAACACCCCGGUCACAUGUUACACUAUUAUCUACUGCUUAUGUUGCUUAUACUUCUACGGGCUCACUACCCAUUCUUUAAAGAAGUUUAUUGGGAUGUAAGUUGAACUGUCUUGUACCCCAUAUCCACACGCAAUACGGUCUCACCGAGGCAACGACUAAGCAACUUUAGCUUGUCGCUCGAAUAUUAUUGAUGCGCACCAAUCUUUCUAUUACGUCUUGGGGCUAUGCAAUAUUUGCAUGCAGCUUUACUAUUCAUCUAUGACCCACCAUCAUUGAAUAUUUUUGUAUUACAGCUUGUGACUGUGUACGAGGAUUGACACGAAAUUACAAUCCUUGAGCUCAAGCAGGAUAGAAACGGAUCUUCAAUCCUUGAGCUCUGCUAUUAUUUCUAGGUGCCAAAUCGCACUGCCACUGCUUAUAAUGAUUUGUCAUUUGAGAUGAAUAAGUAUUUAUGUUGGAUAUGAACCUCCACCUAUAAUCUGCAUAUGUAGAAACCUUGUCAGGCGAUCUCAUUCACCCAUAAAUUGCGGAUUGUCACUUUGAUGAGACAAUAUUCUCGCCAUUAGGGGGAGAUAAGAACACAAGUGUUCAAGUGAAACGACGUGAAUUGUCGUGGUUUGUCCCCACUAAGUCUCAUCUUGAUCCAAAAUGCUUAAAGUGUUAAAGUAACUAGAUCACAUGCUGCAAAUAUGUCUGCAUUGAUGUUCUACAAAAGGACAUGGCGCGACCAAAAGAAGUUGGUCUUGGCGCCAUCACCAUAGAUGGUGAAAUGAUGACGCCAUAUAAUGGCAAAAUUGGUGUCACAAGGCCGUGUGGCUCCCCAAAAGGAGGGAGGCCCUUAGGUUUGAUAUAUUCUCGCACUAGGAAGAAAGCGAGCUUGGCACAACCUGAUCCAUUGAUCAGUAAUACUCAAAUCCGUCUCAUGAAGUCUGAAUUGUGAUUAUCGUUGGGGGACGCCUCAAUGUCAAAUCCAAUCCAUAUAGAGAUCUCUACAAGUAUUACACUAGUGUACAUGAGGACGUGGGAUAAUGAGUCUACUAUCGAACCACCCUUCGUUGAUGGAUACCAACUUAGUUGAUUGGCCUAAUGGAAAGACGUGAUCCAACAUAACAAAGAGAUAGGUCCUUGGGCAGGUGAUGCCGACACCGCAAGCUAACCCUAUCAACUAUGCCUUUGUUAGAUAGCGUAGUGAGAACAAGAGCUUAGACUCACCUUAUGACCCAAGGUUUCUCACUAACACGCACUGGGAUCGACUACGAUGAGAUAUGCUCUCGUAAUGGAUGUCAUUGAACUCCACUACUUUGUCAGUUUGGUAGUUUCCGAAUAAUUGAACAUGCAGCCUAUGAAUGUGGUCAUAAUAACAUCUCUAUAGGAUCAGAGAUAUACAUGAAGGUCUUAAACAGAUUUCAUUCAUCCGAAUCAAGUGACUCCAAACCACAGGAGCAUGUGUUUGCUAAAUGUAUUGAAACGCACAUGGACUCUACUUGAUUUGGAAGGGAUAUGAUGAAUUAUGCCUUUGCGUGUUCAUUCCGGAUUUACAUAGACUCUUGAUGGAUCUAGAGAUGCCAACAUGUAUCAACAUCCGAAGAAAAAGAUCUUGGGAAAACACGGUCUCGAUAAGGCACUCAAUGACUGUAUUGAUGAUGAUUUUUCAUCAAUCGGUUUAGGCGCUCUAACGAAAGUGAGGCUUACAUAUACUCCCAUGAUUAGUCAAGGUCUUUGCUCUAAAGAGAGAUCUGUUAUUUUGUCUAAAGCAAGAUGACAAAUAUGUGUUAAGAGAUGGAGUUCCCAUCUAAGUACAAUAAGACGCAUCAAUGUACUCAACACAAUACGAAAGACUUGACAUCUCAUUCGCUAUGAAAAGUUGUAAAGCUAAGUGUAGCUAUGCGCCCACGCAAUGCCAAUGUAAUGGCAGUAACUCCUUUUUCAAUACUUAAUGGUAUGAAAGGUUAAGGCUUAUUCUAUCCCUACAUAAGAAAGACACAUCAAUAGCGAAAUCAGAAUCUACCAAGUUUCGUAGGUCAACUUCCAUGGGACCUACAAAAAAUCACACUCACUGAAAAAUGGUGAAAUUGGUACCAUUGGAAAGGUCUAUGUGUCUACUUUCCAGUGACACCAACCAUUUGAUCAUAUCUAUCAUAUUAAGUGAGUUAUGGCCAUUUUUGUAAAGUAGGACGAAUCUGUCAGAGAAUUUGAUUUUGGCAAAACAAUCAACUUCGAUAGGACUUUAUGAAUAGCUCCUGACGAACCAGAACAUGUGUAAUAUACGGUUGGAAAGCUAAAUGAGUCUAGUUUCCAAAUCCGUUUACGGUUCGUUCAUAUGUAUUUCCUAGAGGAAGUUACGGCUGUUCUAGUAACUGAAGGUCAUGCUGUGCGGAAAUCUGAUUUCCUGCACCAACUUAUGUUUUGAGUUCACAAGCGGCUUUCUCCUCAAGAUCUAAGUGUAAAAGAUCAUUUGAGGACAAUACGGCAUGAUUUAGUUAAUCAUUGCCUAAUGCCACAUUUGAAGAUAUGUUAAAGAGCAUUGACAUGCUAAGUUGUUAAAACUUCCGUGAUAAAUAAAAAUCAGGAAGAGCCCUAUGAUUGAUGUAAAGAUCAAGGGGAGGUGCGAACUUCAGGGGGAGUCUAGCACAUACAUACAUGUCGCUAUCAAAUGUGAAGGGUGCGUUGUACUCUUUUUCUCCUACGAUCAAGGUUCAGUUUUUCUCCCACAGGGUUUUUGUGACUUGACGAGGUUUUUGACGAGGUAACAGAUCAGCACCAUCGGCAUAUCAGCGCACGGCACAAGGGGGAGUGUUCUAGUAUAUUCUGUAUUUUUCUAGAUAUUAUUUGUGUGUGCCUUGGCCUUAUGCCAAUAGGAUAUGUAGUUAGACUAGAUCUAUGUAUUCAUAUCCUUACCAUAUAUGUGUAAUUCCUUAUAUAAAGGGCUCCUAUCAAUGAAUAAGAUGAUGAUUCUCUUGCUAUCUUUUUGUCUCUACACUUUAUCCUUCAUCAGUAUUUGAUUUUAAUUUUAUAUUUUUAUAUAUUUGGUAUAAAAAAAUUAAAUUAAUUUAUUAAAUAAUUGUUAACGAGAAUUGGGGCGAGUAUGAGAACGUAAUCCCCAAAGAGGACGGAGACAAGGAAUCCUCAUUAUCUAAUUACAGGGAUUGAGGCGGGUAAGAGGCGGGAUGAAUAAUGAAAUAGGGUAUGUGUAUGGCUUUUUGAUCCACUUACCUUACCAUACCAGCAUACCCAUUGCCAUCCCUAGUAAAUGGUAGGCCUAGUUAGUGACUUGCUUCUCAAGGCAAACGACCUAUUAAAACUCUUGUCUGCAAACCCUAACUUGUUCACAAUUUCAUAUGAUCAAUAUUAUGGAAAACCCAUAAUGGAUAGGUCUGGUAAAUUCUUUAUCUCUUUUUUGGGUAAUUUCAUGUGUGAUUUAUAUAUAUACACCAACACUAGUCUUUCACCCGUGUAAAUUUACACGACUCAAAUUUAAUUCGGUGAAGCUUUUGAGGACCUAGCUUUAUAGUAGUAGCGAUAAGAUGCGAAAUCCUAGUGGCGGAGCAAACUGAGAAUGGGGGACUCAGAAGAAAGCACGAAAUUGACAGGCUGCUUAGUGAUGAGUUUCAAAAAUCGACAGAUAAAAUUUUGAAAUGUCUCCCUCAUGGUGAUGAACGGAUCACAUAUUUAUUUGUUGCUACAAUGACCAAAAAGUUAAGUUCAACUAUCUAUAUAUGUGGUUUUAUUACUUGGUCAAAAGGAUAGGGUUUUUAGCUAUGUAUGGAUAAUGACUUCUCACUUCUCAGUAACCAGCAACCCUUUGGGUGAAUAAUGAGUCGUGUAGCUGUCCCAAUUAGUUGAUUAAGCUCUAGUUCAGGUGUCUUAUCUAUCCUCACUCCCCUCUUAGUUUUGGACCCAAUCAAUAUGACUUAAAAAGUUUGAUAGCAUCAGAGAAAUAUUGCUGAUCGAUAGGAUGAUUUUUCCAGGUAAGAAGCUAGAUAGAUGACUUGUUCUCAUACUAUUGUCUUACGUUUUUAAGAAUUCUGUCCAAUGUUGGAGUGAAUCUUAAAUCACAAGUUUAUAUAUCAGCUUAGUAGUAUUGACAACAAUUAAUAAUAAGCAAGGCUGAAUACCUACUGUUUAGGAGAGGUUUAGAUAGAUGACAGCACUUUCUUGUGGUGGUUUUGGCCUUAAUUGAGUUGGUAGCUUUUAAUCAACUCAUUUCUUGAGCUGAGAAUAAAAGUUUUAACUCUCUCUCAUAAACACCAUGAAAAUGGUUGUGAUAUAGAUUGUAUUUGAGCCUUUCUUUUCUUUUUCUUUGUUUUGAUUGAAGGAGAAAUUUAGGUUGAUCAUAUUUAGGUUUGUAUAUUAUUAUUGUUUUAUUUCCUUUUAUAGUAUAAAAAUUGCAUUAUUUCCAUAUCAUCACAAUUUUAGUAGGGACGAUCAAUGACAUGGUAAAUUCCACAUCAUUUGGUAUUAGUAAUUGGUAUAACUUUUUGGUGUCUAAAACAUUUUCCAUUUAUCAAACAUUACCACAAGAAAUGAAAGUAAUGUCAUUUGUAGAAACUUAAUAAAGAGGGUCGUUUUUAAAUUAACGAAUUUAAAUUUAACUAAGCAACCAAAGAUUAUGUAUGAUUGACCCUUCUGGCCCCCUCUCCCUACGCGGAGUAAAUUCCAACCAAAGAACAAAUCUAGCUCGCAGCUUCAGUUUUCCUUAUUCUACAUCAGUAAGUACAUGGCUAGCAUUGCCCUAUCGUCUUUAGGCACUUGUGUAACGAGUUAUUAUUUCACUAGAGGUUGGGAGGGGGAAGAACCCAUUUCGUUCCUUGGAUGAAGGUCAAGCUUAUGAAGGGUCUUGCUUCUACGUCGCUCAGCAUCUUUGCAUACUUGACUCGUUCGUUGGAGCUUGAACCCGGUCCAGAACACUUGUACUCUCCAUAAUACACAGUGCUGCGCGCAUAAACAAUAUAAACAUUAUGAAGAUCGAUCAUUUCAUUUUACAUACUUCUGUUGGUCAUAUUAUGAAAACCAUGUACAGAUACAGAAAUGAACGUACCUGGCACGCGUAUUGUCGUUGUAGUCGGACCACCCUUUUCUGUCGACAAGGUUCCCCAUGUAUGUGUAGGCAAACACAACUCUUGCUCUUCCCCUCCAAGCACGACCUAGCAAUGUGUCACCUGUCCCUUUUAUGGUGCAAUACACGAACGAAAAUCCAGUAUCGUCCUGCGCUUCUGAUCUACCGUGUGCUGUGAUCACCCCAACUCCAUUCGCGACUGAGUUUAGGGUACUUUUCUACAAUACCAGUUAAAUAUUAUCAAGUUAACAUUUGAACUUCAUCAUGUUCAGUAUGAUAUACUCACUAUAGCUAUGUGUGUACGUACCAAGUAGAGGGAUUUUCCAUUGCCAAAGAUGAAAUCAACAGUGCCUUGGAUGAAGCAAUCCUUGAAGAAAUGUCUUCCCUUAUCGUCACAUAAGGUGUCCUGAAAUCCCAUGAACUUGCAGUUGUAGAAUGCAGCCUUGUCCCCUGAUAUUCUCAUUGCCACCGCCUGUGCAUCCUUCCUUAUACCGUCUGGCAUAGGAGCUGAGUUCUACACAACCAAGCAUCGCAACAAAAGAAGGUCAAUAAUGUUUCUCAACUUUUGUUGAUGGAGACGAUUCUGAUAUAUAGUGCAAUAGUAACCAAAGAAAACCAAGGUAGAUGGAGACGAUUAAGACAUGAUAGAGACUGACGGGAUUGAUUUGAUCUGAUGGGAGAGAGAACUGAGGCAAUAGAGAUACAUACGAUACGACGAAGUAAAGACUCAAUGGUGUAAAAUUAUCUACAUAAAGUAGGUGCAUUGGUGAAUGCAUUAACUUGUGCUUAAUAGUAAAGAGAAAUGAAUCAAAUAAUUAACACAAACAACUUCCCAAAGAUAUUCCAAUCCCAUCAUAUAGGUUAGGGUCCAUCAUUUCUAGGACUCCCAUAUCCCUGACCCUCUAAACCACGCACAAUGGCAUGCAUGCCAUUUUGCUGUCAUAUAUUUCUCUCUAGGGUUUGAUCUUGAAGAUAGCUAGCAAAAUAUUAGACGAGCAAAGAGAAUGUGAAACGAGAUAACGCACAUGCAGAAUAUAUGCAAAGAAUGGAACACAAAACGAAAUCAAAUUUAAGGCAAAGGACAAAACCGCAAUCAUAUAAUGCACAUAACGCUUCACUACUGAACACGAAACGACAUCAAAUUUAAUGACAAAUUAUGGACAAAACGGCAAUCAUAUAAUGCACAUAACACCUCACUACUACAACUCACCACAAACGCAAUAUUCACGGCAACGAAAUAGUCGGACUCCACCGCCACUGUGGCACUGUUCCACGUCCCAUACACCGCCGCAGUGCCGUCGUACGUGAUCGACGGCAUAUCAUUCUUAUCCCCAUAAAACGUCACGAAGGGUUUCGUCAUCUCCACCAGAAUCUUCUCUCUAUACUCUCCCCCACCAAUCCACACCACCACGCGCCGCUUGUUCCCCGUAGGAAUGCUCUUCACGGCGUCCGUCACCGUCUUAAAGUCUCCAGUGCCGUCCUUCUUCACCCUUAUGACUCUCCCUGCGUCCUCAGCCGCCGCAAGCUCCGUGUCAAAGUGCGUGCCGGGGACGUCACUCCUCGUAUUGAGCACGGCCUUCCGCUUGUCGUACUCCCUCAUGUUUCGGACGAUCCAGUCAUCAAGAUCGGCCUCGUUCUCCGGGAUGAGGUUAGGUUUGCCGGACACGAGCAAAGCCAAAGUCAGAAAUGCCGACACGACCAAAACAGCCGAGGUCGGUUUCGAAGCCAUUGGUGUGUUAAUUCUCGACGGUGUAGAAGAAGUUUGAAUAACAGUGUCUGAUAUAUAUGCCAAGAGGAAACGAGAAAAACAACCAAAUCGUUGAGGGGGUUGUUAAGGUUGUGGAGGCUUUCUGGAGAAUACAUAACUGUUGGGAAAUCGAAGAGGUUUAAUAUAUGAGGGGGGAGAGAGACAAAGAGACGACCAUGGUGUGGACUGAAAGCGGAGGAGAGGGGGAGGUUAGUGGAGCAGUUUUGACGCCCUAAAAUCUGGUAAACUAGUAACGAGUAAACUACCAUGAAGCGAAACAGCGUUUGUUUCGUUGGACUUGAUUUGGAAAUAACUGUCGGCGUGGGCCUAUUUUAUCUGUUUCGGUACUGAAUUUGACAAAGGAGCUACAAUUAUGGCCCAAUUGUAAUGAGAAAUCCAUUUAGUUAUGGAAUCAUUCCCAAUUUUUUUUUUUUCUCCAAAGUUUCUAUUAAUGUGUUGAUACUGAUCUCCGUCAAAUUUUCAAUAUCGCUUUUUUCUAGCCCAAGUAAUAAAGGUUUGAAAAUGAUUUAGGACUAGGAUAGAUUAUGAGUUUGAGAAUCAUAAUUUGGAUGAAAUGGCCAAUCAAGCGGACCAAGAAAAAAGCAUUAAUCAUCAAUCAUCUCAAUCAUCUCCAUCCGUUGCGAGAGUUGGGUUAAUCUAGCUGCUAAAUUAACUUUCAUGAGUAGUUUCCUCGUGCGAGUUGAUCAUGUACAUUGAAUUAGAACCUAAUUGGAUUCCAAUUAAUUUUUACUUACCCUUAUCCCAAGACUCAUAUACUUCUAUCCAAUAAUAUGUUGAAAUCAGUAAUCAUGAUUUAGGAAACCCUAAUUUACCUCAUUGCCAGCUCUGAAUGUUUUUGUUAUUAUUAUUAUUAUUAUUUUGUUACCCUAUUGAAUUAAUCAAGAAAAAGAGAAAAACCAGAAAAAGGAAACAAUGACACAAAACUAGGAAAACCGAACUUAAGGAAGACUCAUAAAGUCGCUAUUACCAUAUAACAAAAUGAAUUGGGAGAAUGUUUAUGUUAUUGUACAAAUAGUCAGUUAUCUAUAGACUGAGUGUAAGAUCACCGUUUAGACUUUAGAAAGAAAGGGUUAUCAUGAUUAACCCUCUCGGUCGUUCUAGUAAUGGGCCAGGCGGAUGGGCCUCUGGCCAUGGUUUCGGAUAAAACUAACAUUACGUAAUUGGGCCGAGAAUCGUUCGUCACGAUCUCCACCCACUUCCAAAGAAUGAUCCAAGACUAUUCCAUUUCGUAUGGACCCGCACGUGUAUAUAUGCCUAUGAUUGAUUCUGCAGGCAACAUUCUCCAACUCCGAUCCUCAUCAUUCGCCCGCCGACCAGACCACAAAUCCAUUAUGGUGAUGUUUGAUCGACGACGGAGCCAAUAGAGAGGGGAGACGUACGGCUAGGGUUUGUCCAGCUCCAGCAGCACGUACUGCAUGCUACUACUGUAUGUAUGUCUGUCUAAUUUGAUCUGUCUUAUCCAGUCUAUUCUAUUGCAGGGCAUGGAAUGACUUGCUCCAUAUCUCUGCAUGCUUAUCCUCAACUCCUCAAGUGCAGAUAUCAUAUCAAAUCAUCUACUGGUUUUCACGUCAUAUUAAAUUUUAGGGUAACUUCUUUGCUUCUUCAUCGGCCCUAGAGAAACGGCUGCCAAAUAUGGGGCGAAGCUACAUACCCUACAAGCUAGUCUACACUGCCUAGGCUCGAGCUAGAAGAUACGUCUAUAUGGUGGUGCCUCAUUCAUACCCAAUAAUGAACAAUCCCAUAUAGUAGCUAUUCCGACAUCUGAUGUAAGAGAGGCUAUGCCGGCCAUGGUGUCUUUUCAUGGAGUCGGUUUUUGCUGGCUAGCUAUAUAUGUAAACACCAAACAGUUAAGUAGUGAAGCAGACCUCAUCUCCAUCAUAAGAUAUCAUUAAGAGUGACUAAAUAUAUAUUGCUAAGUGAUCGAGUGAGAGCAUAUGCAACAAAACCUAAAGCAAAAUGUUAGUUAUAUACGACAGAAAUGACAUUUUCCAACACUUUCCAUAUAUAAAUGAUAUUUUCCGAAACUUACAUGUAUACAAUAGCGGUGCAAACUAUUACCAUUUAUGUUUAAUUUGAUUAUCAAAAUGUUGCAUGUUAAUACUGUUUUCGUAUGGACGUGAUCUUUCUCUAAUUUUUCGUAGAUUAAUUCCAUCGUAACAAUUGAUGCAAAGUAAACUUUAGAUGCAAGUAUGCAACGUUAAGACAAGAAAUUUUUUUGAUGACAGUUAAGACAAGAAAUUAGUCGAACAUUAAUAUAUCAUCCUCGGGCAACUUAAUUGCAUGCACCUAGUUAGGCACCUAGGUUCUUCCCUGGUUGUGUAUUUGCUACCAUGAAUUGGCCGGUGACUAUCAAUACAGUAACCAUAUAUUUAAGGAUGUAGAAAUCCAUACAUACAAAAUUGAAAUCUACACACCAUUUUUUUUUUUUUAACACAUUCACAAAAAAUAAAGUUUAAAUCAUUAAAAGACAAAAUCUAAGUUACCAAAAAAGGAAAAAGAUAUGUACGUGAAUUUCAUUUUAAGGUGUGUGGAUUUCACAACCCUAUAUUUAUCAUCGAUCACACUAAGAGUUCGACUCCCUCUGUCGGUAGCCAAAAUACAAAAGAAAUUCAAAUGAAUAACACAUGCAUGGUCUAGUUUUUAUAUGAUGUGAAUAGGUUUAUAAGGUAAGGGGAAGCCACAUGCAAGUAUUUUUGGACUCGCCGAAUCCAUGCCAAUCCAUUUCUAGUAAUAUACAGUAGAUUACACAAUCCCAUUCAUAUUUUCCACCUCAAAAAAAAGAAAAAAAAGAAAAGGAAAGGUCCGGAGGUCCUCCUCUCUUCGAUGCUGCUAUCUCAACUCGUAUGGAGCUCCAUCUGCUUCUAGCAUAUAGAGCACUCCCCUCCUAUGGGGGUCGAUAAGUUCAGAAACGAACACUGUUUUGGAUGGUGGCUACUAACGUGCAAUUCAAUUUGAGAUUGAUUUCUGCAGCAUCACAUGCCAUGUCUCUAAUUUGGUCUUGUGCUUUUGUUUGUUUAGUAAGUAGCUACCAAAAAACUAUUAUGUUUUUCUCGUGUGGAAGAAACCCACCAUCGUCAACUCCAAAUCAGAAACUUUCUGCACGCAUCUACUACAGAUACUGUCGUUGCAUGCAUGUUUGCUCUAUCUAAGAGGACAAAAAUCGAACGCAAUCCAAUAUAAAUUAAUUGACCGAUUAAAAUGUUGAAACCUGAGAUUGAAUGUGUUUUUAAAACAAACCAUAAUAAUACGAACCCAGAUACAUCUUUAGUAGGAACUAAAUUAAAGUACUAAUCAACUGAUGAAUAAUAGUAGCAAGAUACAAAAUUACUUUUAUGAAGGGGUCCGGAUCAAGGGACAUCAUAUUUUACACAAAAUUUGACACACCUUGUGAACCUUUAGAUUCUAAAAUGUUCAAUGGCUCAGAUUUAUUGUUUAAAUGAUGUCAACACUACAUUAAGUGAUGUGGAAAUUACAUGGCAUUACAUAUUCUCAAUAUAAGAUAAAAUUCUAUUAGAAAAAAAAACCACAAAUUAAAAUUUGGAGAAUCAAAAUCAGAAAAAAAAAAAUCUAAACUCAAAAAACAGUAUAAGAAAGAACGACGACUAUUCUUAUCAAUAUUGUAUUAUAAACGAUCAAAAGAGAAAAAAAAAUAAUAGAUGAUCCUUGUGGCAUCAAUUAAGACAAGCCAUUCACUGUACCAAAAAAUGAGAUAUGUGGAAUUAGUUUUAAAGGCUUGUUAGAGAGACUUAUGGAAGAACUUUGAUCAAAUUAAAGGCUCGAUGAUGGAGGGAGUUGAAUUCUUCUUUUCUUCUGGGUUUUAAAACCUAAAUUCAUAUGAAAGGUUAAACCUUGAACCAUAAAGAACGAUUAUUUUGUUGUUAUCUAAUUACAUUGAGUUAUAUUGAAGAUCGACAUAAUCCAAUUAGAUUGGUACAAUAUAUUCAUAGUAAUCUCCUUCAACAUAUUGAUAAAAAGAACUGCAGUCGUUCUUAUAAUGUUCUUCUUCUUCCUUUUCUUUUUUUAUUUCUCUUUUUAGUUUUUGUUGAUUUUGAUUCUCCAAAUUUUAAUUUGUGGUGUUUUUUUUUCUAAUAGAAUUUUAUCUUAUAUUGAGAAUAUGUAAUGCCAUGUAAUUUCCACAUCACUUAAUGUAAUGUUGACAUCAUUUAAACAAUAAAUCUAAGCCAUUGAACAUUUUACAAUCUAAGGGUUCACAAGGUGUGUCAAAUUUUGUGUAAAAUAUGAUGGCCUUUGAACCGGACCCUUUAUGAAGAUGGUACAUUAACUAAUUAAUCUCGAUAUAUAUUCUAACUGAUGAUGUUCAUGUAUCAUGUAUGGACACAAAUUCCAUUUCUUUUAGCAUGCAUUUUUAUCACUAAAUAUGCAUGAUAUUGAACUAUAAAUCUACAUGUGAAGAAGAAAACUUUAUGUCUAAAAAAUUAAUUGUAUGCAUCAGGUAUGAGAUGCUGGAGAAAACCAACUAAUCGUUGAUUAAAUAUAUCCGCGAUUGAAAACACAUGCAGAGGUUUUAACUAUAGAUUUAUUUAUACUGGUCAUGAUAUAAGAGUAACAUCCUUAUAUGAUACAACAUACGUCAAUUCUAAGAUCUCUAAACUAGACUUACGUUUAUAAAAGGUGUUAUGUAAAAGUUACUAGACAUGAGAAUUGUGUAAAGUACACUUUGGAUGAUGAAUCUCAUAAAUUAGUACAAUAUAAACAUGAUGAGCACCCCAAAUUUUAACCCUCGAGGCUUAUGAGUAUUUCUCUGCAGGGUUAUAAGUUGAUCUACUAUGGCUUGAAAAGAUACAUGUAGAAAUUCUAGAGUUUUACAAAGAGAAGUGAAAUCCACACACCCAAAAUUGUAAUCCACACACCAAUUUUCUUUUUUAGUAACCUAAAUUUUGUCCUUGAUGAUUUAAAUUUUGUCUCCAUAUGAGAAUGAAUUACUAAAAAUGGAAAGUUGGUGUGUGGAUUACAAUUUGGGGUGUGUGAAUUUCACAUUCCUUUACAAAUGCAUGAUACAAACUGUACGUAUAUAUGAUUAUUUUAUCUGAAAUCAUGUAAUUAAGUUUAAUUGCAUCAUAUUCGUGUACCAAUACCAUAACCAGUGUGUUCCUUUAUAAUAGAAUGAUAAUGUUUGAGCUAGCACGUUACAAAUUCCACCUGCUCAUAUAUCCAACUCCCACAUGCAACGUUAGCAUCACAAAUCACAAUGAUUAGCGAGCAUUAGUAACAAUAUAUUUGAUUCAGCUCAAUUAAGAAUCAAACCUUAGCAACUAAAAUAAAUUUACGUACAGCCAUUUUAUUAAUCAUCGCUCACGAUAACGAACUAGCCUUAUUCAUAUUUGGAAACACACACAGAUCGAUGAACAUGCCUCUCUCUAUCACAAUGAAUUCCAAUGAAGAUUAUGUCGUGGCUGUGCAUCAUACUGCCAACCACUGCAGCAAAUUGACUCGGCUCUGUACACAUAUUUUGACGUUUCCUUCGUGUUCUGUGGCCUCCAAUGGAAUCAAUAACACCACGAAAAGCUUUUUAUGGCGAAACCCUACCCGCACGUACCCCCACUACAACCCGAUAUAUAUAUUUGCCAUCCUCUCAGUCUCUUAUUCAACUCACUUCAUCAUUAAUUUGGCUUUCACAUUGAUCUGUUCCUUUUCUUUUUCUGGGUUAGAGCCAAACACAUACGUACAAGCUAGACAGAUCAAAGAUGGGAUUGUAAUCAUUGUAUGAUUAUCUACGCUUCCGUUCGCCGAGGGCUGAAGACUUCCUCAGAUCUAACCAUUCACGUGUAUCUACACACAGUCGACUGAGUCGAGAAGUGAAAACUCUUCGAAUAAACAUAUACCGGACUUUUACUUUGAAAUUUCUUAAUUGAUACAUGAAGGAGGCUCGUGCAUGAAUUCGGAAAAGGGUUUUCGGAGACAAAAAUUCCAAGCAUCACAUGGCGUCGUGGAGGGAGGGGGGGUCCGUUCAGGAGGCCAAAUCCGAUUUUGACGAGCCUCCACCCACGUGGGCUGGUUUUUUUAGCUCCGGCUACCUGACGUGGACAGAAUGACUAAAAUACCCUCAUGCUCUCUGUGAUCGAUGCUGCAUGUCCAUCCACCAAAAGACAACAAAAUCAGUGGCAGGGAUGAUUGGGGAUUAUGGGGGCAUCCUGUUACAUGAAAAAAGCCGCGAAAAGCGGCCGUCUUCUUCUGCGACAGUAGCUUUGUCUUCUUCGUUCUUGACGUUUCGGUGGCUCCGGUGGCAUCUAUGUCUUUCAGUCUCCCCCGACUAGGGACGGAGUCAGGAUUCUAAAACCACCUGAGCUAAAUUUAAUUUGAUAAAAUGUAUGAAAAUUAUAAAUUUAUAAUGCUUGUAUUUGCAUUAAGAAAAUAUUUUUGGCUUCUUAACACCUGAUAUUAAGAAGAAGAUCAAUCUAUAAGAGUAUAAGUGAUAUCGAAUUUCAGAAAAUAAUCAGAUUCACAUCCUCAAAAUGUCAAUAUCGACACAACAUGUUUUGAGAAUCAAAUAAAAUUGAAGGAAAAACUAUUUGUUGAAAAACUAAAAAAAUAACAUAAAACAAAAAAUGUUAUAUAUAGUUGAAGAAAAAAAUGGAGACUAGAACUUAAUAUGGACCAUUCCCAAAACAAAAACAAAAAAGGAAGAAAAAAAGAAGAAGAAGAAAACUUAAUAUAAACCAAUGCCUCUUUUUAGAAAAAAUAAAAGGUGGAGCCGUGGAGGUGGCAUAUUCCAAUCCUCAUUUAGUAUAAUAUAGUAGGUUUUGGCUUCUUCUAAAUUUUUUUUACAUGCAUGGGCUAUUGGUUUAUAUACCUGUUUAUUCAUAUAAUAUGAUCUAGUCUAUUUGAAAAUUGGAGAAAAACUGUCUGGGCUACAGCCUAGAGACAGUUCCACUAUAUCCUCCGUCCCUGCCCCCGACCCCGUCUUAUUGCUCGGAGUCAGAUCACUCUGAGUACAUAACUAUAUAUGCUACCGGAACCCUAGUUACUAUAAGAGGGAAAGCGUCAAAAAUGUGGUUUGCUAUAUUUGAGUGAAGUGUACACUAGGUGGUGGUCGAGGUAUAUGUAAUAACAACAAAAUUACUUACACAGUAAAAUUACGUACGUCUUUAUUUGUAAAUGAAUAAAAACAAUGUAUGGUUUGUUAACUAUAGGUUAGGUUUAUAUCAAUAAUGUCGCAAAGGUUGUUACGUCAUUUACAUCUACAAAACCUAUAUGUAGUUGUUGCAUG